AUUGGUUCGCUUGUCUGUUUUUGUACUGGAGGAUUUCCAAAUGCGAGAUUAUAUAACAAAAUAUAUAGUAGAAUUCAUCGAGAAAUGAUAUGAUCUCCAUAUCAUUCCAUCGAUCAGACAUAUUCCAUGUAUCGCAACCGAUCGUGCCUAUAAAUACCCACUGGUUAUCGCCUAUACGUUGCAAUAACAGGUGAGAUAUGUUUUGCCCUGAGGGAAGGCCAAGUACUUGCUCAAAGGAAAAAUGGAGCAAAGAUAAUCGUUGAGAGGGCUUCGCAUGAAGAGGCGGAGAGUGGAGUGCAGCCAAGGAUGACUUGCCGGCAUUUUCUCCAACGGAGGACUCUUGUUUGCAGUUGCCGGCAAGUUUGUCCUUGGCUACACUUGGCUCUCUUCUUCUCAUGUGAUGCUCUUGCGUGAUUCAGGCUAGGGAUUGCUGCCUCUAGUUAUGGAUGCUAUCGGUGCCUCUGGUAUGGUAAACAUCAAAAAAACUAAGAUAUGCAUCAUACGGUGAGUAUAUGAACUUCACUUUGCAUCAUACGGUGUAAACUUUCAAAAACCAAUGCCACUAAACAAUAUUAGAAACAAAAUCAAUAAAGAUGCUAGAUAUCAGUGCUCAAAGGAGAAUUUAAAAAAGUAACAGUGACCUAGCGACCAACUUUACCAGACAAAGCAGCACUACUGAUUUAAAAUGAGCUAGAGAGAAGGCAUGGAAGAUACUCAUCAAUGCUUUAAACCAGUACAUCUAACAAACUCGAUCUCUCUUCUUAUGAGUUAUGUUUUAUUGGCAAUUUGAAGUAUGCAAUUUCUUCCUAAUUCAUAAUUGUUCGAGUUUGUCGCCCUGAUGUUCAUGAGUUUUUAGUCUCUUUGGCUUGUGAUCUGUGGUAUAUGCAAGAGAUGACAUUUGACUUGCUUCUUUUUUGCAGUUCUGGGAAUUAAUAUUAUACAAGCAGAACAUCACAAUCCUUGGUGCUGAGUGAAUUUCAAAUGUUAAUAUCAUCAGUCAGAUACUCAAAUGAGGGAACAAGUGGAAGAAUAUAAUUCCAUCCAAUUAUUCAAUUUAUAAGGCAAAGACGAAAGGAAGCAAAAGCAUCAUGAAGCCACUAUAUUUGAUGUCAAUUUCACGUUGUUAAUUAAAGAAGGAGAGUACCGGCAAGCCGGCGGAAAUGUUCAAUUUUUUGAUUUAUUUUUCUAAAGAUGGUUAUGGGGCUUGAAAUAUAAAGAAAAAGAGUACAUCAAUCAUUGCUCUAUAGACAUUUAUCUGUGCUAACGGUCCUUUGGUAUUUAGCAAAUUAAAGAUAUUAAAAGAAAAGGUUGGGAAAGAUCCAUUCAUUAAAGUUGAUCAAACUUGGAUCUUAAAGAUAUUUCCUUGACAAUUUCUACAACAUUAUUUGUCUUAUUUUACCCUCUUAUGAGACACUUAUC
Molecule: long non-coding RNA, 1419 nt
Organism: Zingiber officinale
Lineage: Eukaryota; Viridiplantae; Streptophyta; Magnoliopsida; Zingiberales; Zingiberaceae
Exons: 3
Source: RefSeq, a predicted model, not a curated record